Molecule: unclassified non-coding RNA, 414 nt
Filed under: Hevea brasiliensis (rubber tree)
Lineage: Eukaryota; Viridiplantae; Streptophyta; Magnoliopsida; Malpighiales; Euphorbiaceae
Source: RNAcentral
GAUAUAUGGUCCGCGAUGCAGGAAGCAGAGGGUUGGCAGAAAAAAUUUUUGAGUGAUGGCUUGCACCUGACACCAGAAGGUAAUGCUGUAGUCUAUCAAGAAGUUAUAAGAGUGUUCAAUGAUGCAUGGCUCUCUGCUGAAGAAAUGCCAUAUGAUUUCCCUCACCACUCCGAAAUUGAUGGAAAGAACCCUGAAAAAGCUNNNNNNNNNNCAACAACGAUGCAUAUAAAAAUGCAGUCCGUUUGUGUUUAUUCUUUAAUGAAUCUAUUGGAUCCAAAGUUCAAAACCUAGAAUAUUUUGAUUUUUCCCCUGAUUAUUUGAACACUGCUGCUUCACUGUUCGUAUUACAAAAAGCAUUUGUUAUUGCUGCUAUUGCAGAACAAUGGACAUUUUUCUGUUACUAUUGAAAUUGAA